UUCAUAUGAGUGGAUUAUGUGGGUGCGAGGUGUGACAAUCGUCUCUGACCGAGUUGUAGUUUGAUAGUAUAUGCAAAGCGUGAAGUAUUCAUUCAUGCGACACUCCGCGUGCUUGGGUUUCCUUCUCUGGAGCCGACACCGCGUUUUUGCUUUGAUGACAUGUCGUUUUCCCUUCCACCAAAACUCUCUCUACCCAUUUCUUCCACUUUUUCUAUAAUAAAAAAGAAACAAAUUAAACACGUUUUUUUUAAAAAAAAUUUCUUCUUCAUAAUUCUUUAAUUAAUCUUGAGGUUAUCCUUUAGUUAAUAUAUUAGUAAUUAUCUAAUUGUAAAUGUUAUUUUUUAUUUUUUUAAAACUAAAAAAUAAUACCAUAGAUUCAGAAAAAAAAAAAAAAAAAAAGUAGUUCCGGAUUAGUUACUAUGCUAAUAAUCUGCAUUAUUUUAACCCCAUAAUUUCAUGAUAAGGAUCAUCUUCAAUUAUUUUGUUUUAUUUCUAUUAUUGCAUUUUGCAUUAUUUAUAAACUUUUUUCUUCAGUUAUAAUUAUUCAAAAAAAAAAAAAAAAGAUUUUGAUUUGUUAUUUCAAUAAAUGAAAAUUUGAGGGUUUCUUUGAUUUUUUAUUUUAUUUUUCAAACCUAAUUAGGGUAGAUCUUAGUUUUUUUCCCUUCUGAUUUUAUCACUCUUUGUAAACAUUUUUAAAGUUGUUUAUAAAUUUUGAAGACAAUAAAAACAAGUUUAGGGUUUUUUUUUUUUUUUUCCUUCUAAAUUUAAGUAAACAAAUUUCUCGUUCCUAAAAUGCAUAAUAACUUUAAUUUCUACAGAGUACAACACUAUUAAUAUUAAAGUUGAGAUAUUUAAUGUUUAAAAACCUUGUUUUUCAUGUAUUUUUGAUUCCAUUUUUAUUUAGUUUAUGAUUUGAAAGAAGAAGAAACAUUAAAGAGUGCAAUAAGAAUUAAGUAACAGUUAUGGAACAUAUUCCAAUCAUAAUAAAUUAAAAAUGAGAAUUGAGAAACCCCAGAGAAAGGAUAGUGUAAAAUAUUAAGUUAAUUUUACAUGUGGAGUAAUAUAUAGUGUUGUUUAUGGAUGAAUAUAUUACAGGCAAGAGCAAUUCUAAAGUUGGCUACUAGAGAAAUGGAGGAAAAUGGUUUGAGCGAAACACCAUCACCGAUGCUACAACAGUCGUCUCCACCACCACGAACCCCGACCACGCCGGGACUUUCCAUGAAGAAAUCACUCCAAAGAUUUUUGCAGAAGAGAAAGCAUAGGGUUCAAGCAACUUCUCCAUACAACCAUUGAAAGAUAUAUAUAUUAAAAUUAAGGCCAUUGGGGGCUUAGAUCAUUAGAUCGUGUGUUCUUAACUAUUUUGAUCCUUUUUUCUUUCUUUCAUAUAUAUAAAUAUAUGAUGUAAGAGGACAUAAGAACACCUUGAGGCUUUGUAAAUUACUAUCGAUCUCGUUUGUUUUUGUUAAUUUAAUUCUUCAACUUCAAAUUUUACCUUUGUUCUUCACUUUAAUUCAUCUAUACAAACUCAUUUAUAAAACUAUAAAUAGUAUACCAAUGUCAACAUUUUCCAUAUUUAUGAUCUCUUUUAUACUUAUAUCAAGGUGAUGGUACUGAAAAUAUAUUCGUUUAUUUAACGUGUUUGUUUAACCUAUCUUUCUAUAGUAACAUAGUGCUCCUUAUUGAUUAAAAUCUUUCUUUUGAUCCAUAAAGUUUUUUUCUUUUCUUUUUUGUUUUCUACAAUAUCUUUAAAGAAGUGUAUAAUAGCAAUAUUCGGACCACCUAUUGCAUCAUUUCAUUUUCCAUUAAAUAAAUUAAUAAAGUGCAUUGUUUAGAGUUAGAUAGAGUUUAAUCAUACCUAAUAUAAAUUCUAUUCUAAGUCUUAAUUCUCCACCAUCUAUUAUUAAACUUUAUGAAGAAAAGAAAAAUAGUUGUUCAGUCAAAAGAGCUAUCCAUUUGAUUAAAUACACCAAUUUGGUCCAUAAUUUAUAAAUUCAUUUAACACAUGUGUUUUCAAAGUUUAUGAAUUAUUUGUUAUUGUUGUUAUUAUUAUUAUUAUUAUUAUUAUUUAAUUUCCAAAUUCCUACUUCAAUAAUGAGUUAAUGAUAGUUGAACAAUAAAUUUAUUAGGUUAUUUGUAUGAAACAUGUUUUUGUUGAUGUAACGAUUUCAAUUACGAUCCAAGUUAAGUUCACUUUGUGAUAUUUCAAUUAAUAACUCUAAAUUAAAAUCAUCACAAAUCCAUAGCAUAAGACAACCAUAGUUUUCCUAUUUAAUAGGAAGAGUUGAUUUAAAAUGAGAAAGGAAUAAAGAACUAAGAAUAAAAUCUAAAAAAUAUCAAACACUUUAUUCUGUCAUUUAUGCUAUGACAGUUAAUAUCCUUAAUUAAUUGCUUUAUCCUUUCAUGAUCUUUUCUUUCCUGUGCUGAAUUUAAUCAACCCUUUUUUGCUUAAUCGAUGAACACCUUACCCUAAUUUAGUUUUAAAUGAAAUAUAUCAAUCACUAUCCGAUUCACAGCAAUGUGCUAUGAAAAUAAUAAUCCUAAAGUAAAAAUUAGAUAUUUGAAAGGUUUGGAAGCGAAAAUGAAUACAAUUCAAUCAUGUAAGUUCGAAUUUUUCGACUACAGGAAAAAGGAAAUUCUAAGGAAUGGGACCCAGGAUGAGACAAAAAGCAUAGUGAUAGCAAUUGAUAUAAGUUGAAAGAAGAGAAAAAUAGGUGCAGGAAAAGACAUUAAGCAUUAUUAUUAUUAAUAGUUACACAGAACGUUUAUCUUACCAAUUUCUCCCAAUUCUUCUUCACUCCAUCCCACAUGUCAUACUUCAAAGUCUCAAUAAAGUCUAGAUGACUAUGAAGUUUAUUUUUUUGCAUUACACUCCCUGCUCAGCUUUUGACUUUGUAUCAAAUGAGUCCUUCAAUUUUACAAAAGUUUGUAUAUAUAUAUAUACACAAUAAUGAUAUUCAAUAAUAUUUAUGUUAAUUAAAAUAGUUUUUUCUUUAAAAUCCCUCAAUUUUUCUUAUAGAUCUUCUGUAAACAUUUUAAAGCUAUCCUUUUAGAAAUUGUCAAAAAAAGAAAAAGAAAAAUAGUAUAUCUAUUUAUUUCUUUUUAAUUGACGGAUUGUUUUUAAUAUCGUAUGUAAAUUGGGUUCCUAGUAAGCUAACCAUUUUUGUAAUACUGAGGUUGGUGUUAAUUGGUGAGGUUUGAGAGACAAAGUUUAGGUGGUAGCAUUCUUCUAAAGCCAAAAAAAAUAGUGAUAAUUUUGUUUUAAUUCAAUCAUAUAUGUGGCAUAUAAUUUUAUAAGACGUCUCUUGAAUUUGGCAAAAGAGAGAACUAAGAAAACAAAAUAAAAAUGGAAAUAAAAGCACUGUUGUACUGAACAAACCUGUUUUGAAGAUGUCAAUGCCAAUUGGUAAUAAAAUGAUAGGAAAGUUCCAAGAAAUUUCAAUUGGUUAAUUAAAGAAAUAAGUUUCAUGAGGGAAUUGAGAUUCAUAAACUUGUAAUGUUUUUAUUGUUUAUAUAUCAUUUGAAUGCAAUUAAAUAGGGAUUAAGAGAUUUGUGAUUACACCCAAAGAGCACUACUUUUCAAAUAUUAAAAAAAAAAAAAAAAGGCAACGUAUUCAAACCUCACUUGCCAAUCUCCACACUUUUUAUUUCUUAAAAAAAAUGAUUUUUCUGUAUAAAAGGAAAAAUAAAAAAAUCCACUUACUCCUUAUUGGUAUUGUCAAAUUCGAUAAUAUUAAUUAAAAGUUGACAAUUUCAUAAAUCAGAAUGACCAUAAAAUUCUUAUUGGAAAGAAAGAAAAGAAAAGAAAAAAAAGCACUUUGUUAAUUGAAUUUGCUAAUCUCCAUGGGAAAAUGCCAAAUUGAAGAUCUUGUAAAAUGAUACGACUUCUCAUUCUUACUUUAUUGACUUAUUUAUUAAUUUCACACGUCUAAUACUUUAUUCAAUUAAUAUAUAUAUGUGUGUGUGUGUGUGUGUAUGUAUAUCCUUCUUCCAAAGUCAUAUAUAAUGGCUGAUUUUAUUUGAAAUUGGUUUGUUUAAUUAUAGGUAAUCAUUCCAUUUAGAGUUAAAUUGAACCAAUUAAAAAAAGUGGGCUUUCAGUUUGCUUCCCCAAAAAAUAGAAAUUAGGUGAGCUAAAUCCAAAAUUUGUACUGUUUUUGCCUUUUUCUCAUUCUCUUCAGGGGAAAUUCGUCCUUUUUCUUUAUUCUGUUUUCUCAAACGAUUAAAAUUAUGGUAUUGUUCAAAUCAGGUAAAACUUAUAAAAUAAAUCAUUAAUAUAUUCUUUCAAUAUGAUAACAUUAUUAUUAUUAAAUAUAUAUAUUAUAAAUAUAUAUAAAAAAAAAAGAAUAUUGAGAGUUGAUUGACGUAGGAAUGAUUGAAAUAAAAAAUAAAAUAAAAAGGAAAGGAAAGGAAAGAGUAAAAUAUGGAAGAGGAAGAAACGGGUAAAAUGUGUGAAGAAAAAAGUGGAGUGGGGCAGAACAGUAUUUAUUCAAAACUACGUGGGUCUUGGGGGGCAACAACUUUAUUUGUUUUUGGCUUCUUUUUUAAAUGGAAAUAAUUAUGAUUAUUACUUUCCGCAACUUUCUUUUUUAUAAAUAUUUUCAAGCUCUCAAUCCCACUUUCUAAAGAAACCUAAAAAUCUACAAAUAACAUACAAACUCCAAAAUUAGGCUAAAGUUAUGUUCAAUUAUCGAGAAAAAUUGCAUCAAAUGACAACAACAUUUACAUAUUAUAAAUAUGAUAAAUAAUUAGUGAUAUCUAUAAAACGGUUAUCAAAGAGUUAUCAAAGAGCUAUCAAAAGAUUAUCGACUCUUAAAUUUGCUACUUUUGUAAUUUUGAGAAUGUAGUGACAUUUGUCCUGUUAUUAUAUUCUUUUUGUUAUUUUUACUAGCAUUCCUUAAUUAUUUUAUUUUUAAAAGUAAGAAAAAAAUUAAUAGAAUUUGUUUGAAUGACUCUUGCAAAAAUAUUAAAAAAAUUAUGAUAAUAGAGUUUGUGUCAUUACAUUUUCUAAAUUGGAAGAGUAACAAAUUUAAAAGUUGAUUACGUUAUGGUUACCAUAUGAUAUCACUAAUUUUUCCAUACCCGCAGUAUAAAAAAAAAAAAAAAGUGUUCUGAACUGUUUUUUUCUAAACGUUUUUGUCGUUUGAAGUAAUUUUUCUUUGUUUUACUAAAUGGAUUGAUUUAUUUAAUAACACAUCUUUAACCUAAAGAUUAUUUGUUUAUUUUUAUUUUUUUAAUCUUUAAUUUUCUACGAAGAUUUUCCGAGUUUCCACAAGCAUUAACGAAUACUACUUUUCUUUAUUCUUUUUAUUACAAUAAUGAAUAUCUACCACGUUGCAAUUUUUAUUUACUUAAAAUAAAAUAAACACUUUUUUUUUUUCCUUCUUGUAGACCAUACUUUGUAAAAAGUUAUUUUUGAAUUUCGACAACAAAAAAUACAUUCAUCAUUUUCUUGGACCAACAAUUAUUGAAAAAAAAAAAAAGCUUAAAACAUUGAAGAAAAACGUGUGGAAAAUGAAAGAAAAAUAAAUAUAUAAAGUGAUUUUCCGUACAGUACUUUUUCCAGAAUUACUUGGAGAGAAUUGAGGAAACAGCUUUAUAUUCUCCAAUAUCGAUAUUAUGUCUCCUGCCUCAUUCUCUUAAUCUUUCUUAUACCUAAAUAAAUUUUGUUUGAACAAUUAGAUAUGACUUAUAAAAUCAAACUUUGAGUGCACUAACUCUUGAGAGAUAUGUCAUAGGUCUAGCAAUGUUUGUUUAUAGUUUUGUUAUAUAGGAUGAUUCUCGUGAAGAAAGUCUUUCUAAUUAAAUUCCAAUAGGAAUUUGCCCCCACAUGCUUUUUGGUGCUCUACUGCUUCAAUUUUGAUCUCAUCAACAUCCUUUUCAAAUUUUUAAUUUUAUGUAUAUUUGGAGCUUUGAGUUGUCUCCAUUUUGGGGCUCCACAUUCAUCUUCUAAUUAAUACUACGAUACAUUAGUUUGUGUCUCCAUUCUUUAAUUCAACCUAUUGAUUUUAUUGACCUCGUUUUUUAUAUGAUCUCUAUCAUGUAUUUGAUUAUUAAUGCCUAUGUCUGUUCAUGUGUGUGACAUCUGAUAUAGAGUUGGACUGAAAAUAGGCAUAAAAUGGUUUGAUUAAGAUUAUGAUUAACUGCGUCAAGAUGUGAUCCUCUCGAUUAAUCACGACAUUAUUUAAAGGAAUAUAAUUUCUAUCAAGUUGAAAGAAUGAAAACAUAACAUUUACAUCAACACAAAGUUGGCCACACAAAAAAUGUUGCUUUCCUUUUCGACCGUUAGUGUGGACUAUUUAAGUUGUUUGGAAAGAAAUAGUUGUUAGCAAUAAUGUGUCUCAGGGGUCAAAUUCAAAAGUUGAUGCAAGAGACACAAAUGCAUAUAGGAUAAUCGUAGUAAGUGACACUUUUAAGAUUAAUAAUUAAGUAUAUAUCAACAUUUUUAAAUAAUUAUAGAUAUAAGAAAAUUAUUGAUAGACUUUUAGGAAGCUAGAUUUGAAUUUUGUCAAAAAAAAAAAAAUAUUUACAUCGUGUUAGCUAUUUUUUAAAAAUUUUGUGUGGGAUAUCAAUUAUGUUUCUAAUUCAUCUCUAACAUAUUUUAAUAAAAGAAAUGUUUAUAUUAGACUUAAACUAUAAAUUUGUAUUUAAUAGGUAUGAUUGUACUAUUUUUUUCAAAUCAAUGUAUCAUUUUAUUUUGAAACAAUUAUUUUUGUUUGUUAUAUUCAUUUUUGUUAAAAUAGUUAUAUUUAAAUAUACUCGAGGAUAGACUUUAAAAUAGUUAAAAUCAUUUUUGUUAUAUUCAUUUCUAACAAAAUUAUAGGACUUGAUGAGAGUAGAGAUAACUACCGUUGGUGUUAGAAUAGAGUAUAUAUUAUCCUUCUCCCAUUUCGCUACACCAUUUCUUCUCGAGGAUUCGUUUUCUUCUAGAUCUGAAAGGAGAGCAGCCGACAUCGUCCUUGUUAACCUGCGUUGUGGCCAAUAAGACAUGACCCAAGUUCCCGCUCCUUGGUUGUAGCUUGUUAACCUAUGUUUCAAUUUUUUUGUAGCUUGUAAACAUCUUUUUUUCGAACAAGGCAAGAAAAUCAAGGGGAUUGGAACAUAAAAAUGCCUACUUUGUGUUUCUUUUCCAUUUUUUUUUUCCAUGUUACCACCUGUACCAGCAACCAAAAAGACAUCAAGAUCUCAACUUCAGUAACAUAUCAUCAAUGCUGGCAACAGAAACAAUAUAGGAUGAUGAAUGUAAUAUCCCAUUCGAGAAGACAUUACAUAUUUUAUCAUAACAGAACAUCGUUCAUAUGCUAUAUAAAUUACAACCCCAAGAAUUCAAGACUGCCAAAUUGUGUUUGUUGUUGUUGCAUAGGCAAUGCGUAUCUCAUAGCCUUGGCACGACGCGAGGAGUGUCCCAGUCGGCCACAAUGUGGCUGCGGGUGAUCUCCUGAAGUGAGCGGCAGCCACUCAAUGCCAUGGUCAGCUCGAACUCAUCACGCAUCAUCUGAAGUGCUUUCCUCACACCGGCCUCACCCUCUGCUGCCAAAGAGAACACCACUGGCCUUCCAAUCUAGCAUUGAUGAAUAUGAUACUUUAAGAGAUCAUAGAACUGAUAGUAGAAAAGUGAACAUCUGUAUCGUGUUCUUUUUACUUACAAAUAUGCCAGAUGCUCCAAGCGCCAAUGCUUUGAAAACAUCCGUUCCACGUCGAACACCACCAUCCAGGAAAACGGGAACUUGGCCUCUAGCAGCUUUAACAACCUGAAAUCAUCAAGUAUUAGAACAUGUUCAUAGCUAAUAUGGGUUUUGUUUUAGGCCAACAAAAGAUCUGCGAAUCAAAAUUUACUAUUGUGCAAUUGUAUCAAGUACCUCUUCCAAAGCCACAAUGGUUGCAGGAACGUAGUCAAGUUGGCGAGCUCCAUGAUUUGAAACAAUUAUUCCAGCAGCUCCACUGGUAAUGGCAAUCCUUGCUGCAAUUAGGAGGCCAAAACAUCAGAUUACACUAAAAGCGCCCCAUAGAAAAGACAAAAUGUUGUUGAUAGAAUCAAAUGAAUGUCUUGUUAUAGCCAUUUUUCCCAUCAUGGUUUACUUACUGUCCUCAGCAGUAAGCACACCCUUCACAAGAAUUGGCAACUUGGUGAUGGUCUGCAGCCACUUGACAUCCUGGAAAAGAAGUUUUUACAAUAAUGCUACCUUGUUUGCUUCCAAAUAAUAAUGGUAAUAGCAAUAACAUUGUCUUUCUGAAUUUUGAAUGACAUUUUUUAGUUACCUGCCAACUGAGAGUACGGUCAAUCUGCCCCGCAACAUAUGAGGCCAGUCCAGAGUCAUCUGCCUGUAAAAAAAACCACACCCCCACAGAGAAAGAAAGUGUUAUCGAGGAAUUGUUAAUGGAAAUAGAAUUCAGCAUAGAGUGGCAUUUCACUCUUACCUGGUCCAUUUUACCAAGAUCCAAUCCCUCAAAGUUCUUCAAUGUCAAAUAUGGUGGCAAAGUAAAUCUGCAUCAAGAACCAUCGAAGUGUGAAGAACAUUUGAUGCAAGCUUUAUUAUAUACCACACUGACUCAAUAUAUCCACACACCUGUUCUUGAUAUCAGCUUCCCUGCGACCAAGCCUUGGAGUGUCCACAGUCAGAGCAAUGGCUUUGAAACCAGCCUUUUCAGCUCUUCUCACAAGUUGUGCCACAACAUUCCUAUCCUUGUACACCUGAAUAAGCAAUAAAAUGAAAUCAGAUGAAACGCAUUAAGACCAAAUUUUUUAGACAAACGAAGCAGUAAAUAGUUGGUGAUAAUAUAAAAUGUUGCUUGUUAUUAUUCUUGAAAACUCUUUAUAAAUUGUUCUUACAUAUAGCUGGAAGAAUCGAAUGCCAGGUCCAGUGGAAGCAACUUCUUCAACACUGGAAGUAGCCCAUGAGGAAAGAGUCUGAAAGAAUUGAAGAAUAGCUCGAAUUAAUCUUAGAAAUAAAGUCCUUAACCAACCUCACACUUGUAAUUCAAGUCAAGACUGUGUGCCAUAAAUUUGAGAGAACAGAAAAAACUUUAGGCUUCGAGGAAGAAAUUUAAACCAUAAUUGUGCCCGCUGCAGAUGCUGCUCUGGCUGUUGCAUACUCCCCUGCAUUGAAACAGCAAUAUUAUUCAGACGAAAACAGAGUCAUUCUUGUAGGAAGGGAAACGUAAAUCAGCUCAAUAAGUAUGAUUAUUUUCUUUUAACCAUAAAUUUCGUCUUGAUGUGUGAAUUUUCUCAUUCAAAUCUAAUGUGAGUACUAAUCUCGAAAUGCAACUACAGUCUAUGGUUGACCAGAAAGAUUUACAAGCCAUUAAAACAGUUCAUAUACAUAAUAGAACUUGACAAAUCAACUUUCAACAAGUUCCGACUAUCGAAUGUUUUCUAAACCAUAAAGACAGACACUGCAUGACUGUCUAGAAAAAUGGAGUUCAAAAUGGAAUUAGGAAGUUUUUACCUUCAGGGUGAGCCAUCUUUUGCAUGGCAGUGGGAGCAAUCAUAAUGGGCAUUGAAAUUUUGAAUCCCAACACAGUUGUUGACAUGUCUAUCUUACUCACAUCAAUAAGAAUACGAGGACGGAACCUGUCUCGAUGAAAGUUAGCAACUGUCAGACAAUUAGUUUUAAUAUUGCUCUAGGGAGAAAAACAGAACAAAGAACACGAACUCAGAUUGAAGCUUCUCUAAAAAAAUUCAGAGCUGUUUUAAGUGAAAUUUAUUUUUUAAAAUUAUAAUUAAGGAGAACAAAAUAUUAAUUAAAUGCUUGCUUCAAUAGCAAUAUUUAGUAUCUUCAAAUUUUCCUAAACUAUUUUUAACUAUCAUGAAAAUUGUGAAAAGUGCUUCUAUUGAGAUUAAAAGUAUCUUUCAUCCAUUCAAAAGUGUCCAUAAAACUCACGCUCUUGGAUAAAGAACUAUAUGAGUGUUUUCUCCAAAUAUAUUUUUUAAAAAGUAUUAUCUAAAAGCACUACUUUCUUCAAAUAUCAUCUGAAACUAUCUUUCAAAGAUUUAUCUAGCAAAUAAAAAAAGAUGUACAACACGAGAUAAAAAGUGAAGUAAUGUUGUAUUGAAAGCACUAGCGAAAGCAUGGAAAGGAACGUACAAAAUCCUGGAAAAUGCAUUUCGAUUCUCCUUCAGUGUCCACUGGUCCUCUGCACCAGAUGCAUAGUAGUCAUAAACCAUCUUUGGCAACUUCUCCUUUGCAAUAGCCUCAAACUCGGUGACAUUAGUAACCUCCAUCUUUUCAGCAACCUACUUAAAGCUGUGUUUAAGAAAAUUAGACAAAUUAAUUCAAAACCCAACAAAUUGAAACGAUCUGUCAGGUAUUUGAUGAAAAGGGAUGAAGCAACAAUUCUCAUCAAGACCAAGAAAGUACAAGUCUCAUCAUGAAUAAUACGAUUGAUGUACGAGAUAAUCAUUGAUUAACAAAGUAAACUAGUUAUUAGUUUAUUACUUUAAGGUUUAUUCAUCUAAACCAGCAGAAGAUGCGUUUAUCGAUACUUUAUUCCAUGCUUGAAAACUAUUGCAAACGAACAUUCAUCGAGUAUCAAGAUAUGAAUCUAAUUGAACCAGUGAAUAUCAGAUUCAUUUCACUCAAGUUCCAUAGAUAAACCGACAAUGAAACAGAAAACAAGCCCACCCAUCAUCAUCAAAAUCAAAUUCAUAGAGCAGAAGUGAACGUCAAUCUAAAAGAAUCCAAACCCACAUCAAUGAAACAGAGAAUAAACGAAUAAGAACUGCAUGAAACACAAAAACUCGAAAUACCCAAAUGAGUGAAGAAACAAUACACAUAGAUGUAGUACCACAAAAUCCCAGAUAAGAGAAGAACAAAUCAGACGUGGCAGAAGAACAAAUGAGGGGAGAGAGAACAUACCCUUAUCUGUGGAAAUGAAAAUGAAUGAAGGGAAAUAGUGAAAAGGGAUUAAAGAUAACAAAUAGAAGAUGGAAAGAGGAGCGAAAGAGAGAGAGAUUGAGCUCUCAAAAUGAAGAAUGCGAAAACAAACAACAAAUAUAGCAAAAGGGCGAUAGAGGAAGACCGUGAUCGGAUUGAAGGAAAAGACAAAAUGGGUGGGAUCAAAUUGGGGAAAGAGAGAGAGAGACCACAUUAUUUGGAUUGGAUUUUGAAGGUGAGCGUUAGAAAUCAAAUCUGUUUCACAGAAAAUUCUCAAAUUAAUCAAAAAUAAAAACUUGUGUGGAGGGCGAUCGCAAGACUGUCACUCCCGCUCAAUCCUCGAUAAAAUCCCUACUUCAAUAAUGUAAUCUAAUUUUCUAUUCGAAUUGAUCAGAAUGAAGAAAAAAAAAAUGGUGGGGAAUUCAAACUUUGACAAAUUUGUGCUUCAAAAAACGAAAUUUAUCUCUCAAAUCUUCACAUGCUUGGAAGUUGAUGCGGAAAAUAUAAUUCUUUACUGACUAUACUACAACACAAACUUAUACCGUAUCUGUACCCAAUCUUGCUUUCCUUAUAAGUACUUUAGGCCUUUGAUAUGAUUGAUUCUUCUUUAUCUUUGUUAGUACAAUGCUUACUUUAUUAUUAAUUUUCUUAUAAUCACAUCUUUAAUCCAUUUUCAAAAUUAUUUCGAAACAUUUCUUGUAUUUUAUAUUGAAGUUUUCGUUCCAUUGAAAUAGCAACAGUAAAACUAAAUUAGACCGAAUCCUACUAAUGUAAAAGACAUAGAAUGUUAAGUGGUUAUAGAUGAAUAGAAGAUAAAAACAAUAUGUAUUUAAUUUCAAUUGUAUCAAUAUUCUAAAUGAUAAAAUAUUGAUUAUAAUGGUCACAAAGAUGGAUAGUUAAUUAGAUCUCUUGUCUUGUAAUCUUUUUUAAUAAUAAUAAUUAAGAGGAAAGAAAAGUCAUUCAACUAAGUAAUUAAGAAUUUUUUUUAUUCUUCCUCUUUUGGUUAGGUGAAAAGGAAAGUAAAGAAAAAGUUGGGAAUUCCAAAUAGUUUAUUCAAAAUGUGACAAUAAACAAUGAUAUUGUAAGUUUACAUCUCUCCUACUUUACGCUUCAUAAUUAGUACCGAAUCAUUAAUUUGAAAAAUGACAUCUAACUUCAUUUAUUUGCAUUUAUACCUUUCCCUUUUAAUAUCUUCUAUACAUAUCAUCAUAUCAUCGUACUUCUAUUUAUUGAUUUGCUUUAAAAUGCAUGUAAAGGUUCAUACUUCAAGGUGUUAUAUUAAAUCGUAUUUGUACUCGGAAAAAAAAAUUGUCAAAUCCCACGUAAAUAUGGUUUGCCUUGAAAACCUUGAAUCCUAAAUCUAAUAAUUCGAUAUCCAAUGAGGCGACUAACCCUAAAAUUGAAUAAGUGUAUCGUAUAAGUAUGGUUAGACUUUAAAGAAAACGACUUUAAAGAAUACACAUAAUGCAAAAUAAUAAAGGAUCUAUGAAAUGUGCAUAAAUCACGUUAUUAUAUAGAUAUAUUGAAAGGAUAUUCUAAUUUGUUGAAGUCGUCCGCCGAUAACAGUGUUUGUUUUUUUACCUACUGUUCAACGUUUAUGCUCAAGUCUUCUACUACAUUAACAAAAAGUUUCAUAACGUAAUAUAAAAAUAAAAGAUCUUCCAUGUUGUAUUUUGAAAAAUGUUGUAAUUACAUAUGAUGGCUAUUAGGUAGGUUUUGAUUGUUUCUCAAUUAUAUUCGAUAAUUUUAUAAAAUUUGAGUGGGAAGAAAAACUACAAAUUGAAGUGAAAUUAUUUUGUUAAUUGAUAGAGGUUUGAAAGAAAUACGGUGACUUUUUCUAUUAUAAAAAAAACGAGUGAAAGUGACGUACCUUUUUCUAAAUUACUAUUUAACGACCACCAGUGCACUAAUCAACUUAUAAACUAUGACUCUACUAAUUAUUUAUUACAUAUAUGUAUAACAAGGAGAUAGUUAAGAAAAUAUUAAUAACCUAAAAUUAUAUUUGUAUUUUGUUUUUUAUUGAUACAAAACGAAAGAAAAAAAUGACUUAGAAUAAAUCGACUUGUAGACGUAGACUAGUUAAAUAUGUAAAUCACCCAUAAUUCAUCGUUAAAUUAAAUUGCGGACGUGAUGUGUAUUUGACCAUAAAAACAAACUAACUUACCCAAGAACGAGUCUCCGACUAAACAUUCUUUAGCUACCACACAUUUGGAUCGUCUCACCCUUAGAAAGCUCCAUACGAUCACAAAGUACAUAUUCCAUUGAAAUCACAACAUUAUUCGUCUCAAUCAAAUCGUCGUGCAUGAAAAAUAAUUAAUCUACACAAAAUUGAAGAAGAAAGAUUUUAGAUUAUAUUCCAUAUCUAUGCCAUAAAUUUAUAUAAACAUUGAAUAAACCUCUCAACUUUUGUGCAUAAUUAAGUAGAAUUUAACUUGACAUUUGAGAAAAUUAAUACCAAUUUGAAAUUAACACAGGAAAAACUUUUAAAAAUUUAGAAGUCUAACUCGUUCAAAUUAUAAGUUUCAUACGACGGUGAACAAACUAAAUUUCAAAAGGAUGAACCAAUAUAUUUACGAAAAAUAAAUUAGGGUUCGAUACAACUAUUAACUUACUGUGGCACGUAGUUGCAAUUUUCAGUAAACCCGUGGAUUGCAUACGGUCGUAGCAGACGUCAUAAAUUACAAAAUCAAUACAGGCCGUUCGAUUUGAAAAAUCGUCCAGAUAACAACGAAAGGUCACAACAUCCAACGGUCGAGAUCACAUUCUCGUGGACCAACGUACCAAAGGUGACAAGUUCCGGAAACACUAGAGCGAAAUAAAUACCGAAACAAAAUACAAAGCGCGGUUCUUGCAAACCCUCGUAGUCCAUAUCUCUUACCAUCGCAGUAUCGGUGGCCUUCUGUCUGUGGUGGUGCAGCUACUUCGUUUCUUCGCUGAGGUACUUUUCUUCCAUGCAUCUUUUCUCUUUAUCGCUGAUAUUAACGGUGCGUCAAACUGUUUCCCUGGAUUGGGGUUUUCUUUUUGCAUUCCCUUCACCCCAAGAAUGCAAGUUUAGGAACAUUCUAAUGUUUUUUUUUCUUCAAUAUUUAGUCGCUAUUUAACCAGUGUUUUAACGCUAAACGAUUCAUUGAACUAUUUUGGUUCUGGUGGAAACCCUAAUUUUUCUUUCAAACUGGGAAUGAGUUGAAAUGCUCUCGAGCUUCACAGUGUCUUGCUCUGUGCUUAUCUCGCUCUUUCUCUUUUGGUGAUUAGGAUCGAAUAUGAUGUUUUUCAUAUUAUUUUUUUUCAUGUAAUAAAUGAAAGAAAUCUCGAUUGAGUGUAUUUUCAGAAUAUUGUUCAUUUUAAUUUUUUGCGACUGCAGAUAAAUUGAAAUUUUAAAAUGGUGAGAGGGACUAUAAUGGAGACAAUAGGGGGUACAAGAGACGGAUUACUGAACAAGAUGCAUGGGUUAGUGAUGAACUUGUUGUUUACCGAAUACUUUGCCCGGAUGAGGUCAUUGGAAGUGUUAUUGGCAAGAGCGGGAAAGUGAUAAACACUUCCAAAUUACACGGUUCAUCUUGGACAAAAAUUAUACAGCCUAAAAACUUGAAAUCUAGAUUCAUCUAGAGCAAAAUUAUAACGAGAAAGCCUAAAAGUUGAUAAGUUAAGGCUUUCUCGGUACAACUAUUAGUUUUUUUUUACCAAGAAAGCCUUCACUUAUCAAUUUUUUAAACUUUCUCCGUACAAUUGAAAGCCUAAAAAAUUGUUGGUUUUUUAUUUACCGAGAAAGCCUAAAAACUUAUCAACUUGUGAAGUUCUUAUGAUUGAGUAAUAAAAAAGAAACAUACAUAUUAUUGGUAUUAGUAAUAACUAUCAAUUCUUUUAGCAUAUCUUAAUUAUACUUUCAUAUCUUGAAGACGCCUUUCAUUUGGAUGUUAUCUCGAUUCAUUUAUGUCUCCCUCUUAAAAGUAGGAUGUUACGUGCUUGAACUUUUACUUGGUUUAUUCAUAAACGACAUCUUACUAAGAGAGGAUUUGCUCUCAAAAUCAAUAACAUCCCACACCCAAAGUUCCAAAAUUUGGACUACAUCUAAAAUCCACCUAAUGGCCCAUACAUUUUAAUACAUCUCCUACAACUUAGCUACAUACUUCUUGCUUAUCUUAAAUGUUUCAAAGAGUGAAAAUUAUCUCCAUAAACCAACAAGAGCUUUUUCAACAUACUUUGUCCUCACUCACAUGCUGAUAAAACACGUGAUUAAGGGUGAAUUAAUUUAAUUGCUCAUGAUGUAAUCUAUAGUGUUUUGUGUUGAUGUAGCUUCAAAAACAAAGCAAAAAGAUACUAAAACAUGUCGAUAAAUAAACUGGUAAACAAUCAAAUUUGCUUAUUAGCGGUAAAAACAAAAACAUUACACAAUAUAUUAACACUUAAUUUUGAUAAAAUUUAUAAUGAUAAAGACCAUAGGAUUACAAAUUUAAAAAUAUUAAAACUAAAUUGUUAUAUACUGAGUACAAAUACAAAAAAUAUGGAAGUUCAAGGAUUAAAAAAAGUGUAUUACAUACCCACACAAAUAUAUAAAAUUUUGAAUGUUAAUUCAUCUCCUUUUUCCAUUAUACUUUUAAAUAAAUUCAUAUUCUUAAAUUAAAACAAAAAACAAAACGAUUACCGAACAUAAUUUCAAAAGUAAAAGUUUCUUCCUAAAUAUUUGGAAGGAACAAAUUAGAGAAAAGAAUACUCUAGCUUUUCAAGUCUGAGAUAAAUAAAUAAUUGCAAUUAUUCUUUUUUUCUUGUAAAAUAUCAACUAUACAUGUGUUAAUCAGACCAUAGCUUAGUAAAUGAGGGCACAAACUACUAUUUCAAAGAUCAAUGGUUGACUCCUAUUUGGACGUAUCUAGGAGGGGAAAAUGAAGAAAUGAAAAAAAAAAAAAAAAAAACGAUGCAUGGUGGUCAAGCUCCUACACUAAACAAAACGGUGUUUUGUUACUCCCAAUGUAUCUCAUCACGUGAAACACUUCCAUUGGUUUCCCCCUCUUUUUUUCUCAAAAUGAUUUACAAAUCAAAGUGGAUAAAAUAAUGUGGCUUUUUUCGCAAUUACGGAAAGCAAAUAACUUCAUAUCUAUAUGUACCUGCCUAUAGAUCAGUUAUCCCUACAGAAAGACAAUUGAAUUGCAAGCCUUAAUCUUCUUCAAAUCCCCCUUCGUACAUUUCUUCGUCCCCAUCUCCAAAGUCAUUGUCAUCUGCUUGCGCUUGAUCGGCAUCUCCAGCAUUGGGUUCCUGUUGAGCAUUUGCCUCAGUUUCAUCUUUCUCACCCAUUGGCCCAACUGGAGGUUCAUUCUUGACUCGCAUUGAUUCAACGCUUUCAUCAUUGAGAAAUGUGGUAUAUGGCUUUGAAACCUGCAAAGUGUAGCUUAUUGUCAUGGAACGGAAGUUGUUUAUUAUGUACUGACCAAAAUAAAUUGUAGUCUUAGCCAAAAGCUUGACUAAUAAUGACAAUAGCUCUACGAAUGGUCAAUGGAAGCCUUGCCUUAAAUAAGCAAUCCCUCUUCUGGGCACUCUCCACCAAGUUAUUCCAGUGUUCGUCCCUUUUUAAUGUUGAAGCAGAACCAACUACCUGAAAGGAGCAAAUUUAAUACAGUAAGCUGUGAGGAAUUGUAUUACAGAAGAAUCUCUGCUUAAGGUUUCAUCUUACCAGGAUAGAAGCUCUUGCUCUAGUGAUACCAACAUUCAUUCGACGACAAUCAGAUAAAAACCCUAUUGACCUAUUCUCGCUUGCCCUGACACAAGAAAAUAUGGCGAUGUCCUUUUCGCGUCCCUAAAAAAAGAGGAUGAUUUUACUUAUCAUGCAAAAUACUGAAUGAUGACAUGAACUGAAGCUACAUUUACAAAAUUCUAAACUUGUAACAAUAUCAGGCACAAUGCAUUCAUUUCCAAUAUCCCUAGCUUUAGCAUUCUCAAGGGAUCUGUUGAAGUUGGAACAAAUAUGAAAUAACAAAAUAAAGACUAGUAAAAUCUAUAUUAUUCUAUACAAUAUCCUAGGAAAGCACAAUAAUGGACAAUAGACUAAUAAGCUCCUAUAAUGACAUAUAUACUAGAACAGGGACAAUUAAACACAAUAGGGUUUAAGCGCAAGACAAAAACAAAAGAGUUGGAUUAUUUUUACAAGGAAAGAGCAUAAAUGAAUUAGGAAUAUGGAACCAAAAAAAGCCCACUAAUCACAAGGAGUUUUGCUUGCACUUUUUUAGCUAUUAAAAGAAAACCUAAAAAAAGGGAACUUGUUUUAAUGAGCAAAUCUGCUAAAAAUAUUUACAAAUACAGCAAAAUUUAGAUAAUAGUAGUUUAUCGGUGUCUAUGAACAUCUAUCAAUAAUAUUUUGUUAUAUUUAUAAAUAUUUUGGUUCAUUGUGUUAUAUUUAAAAACAGGUUUUACUACUAUUUUAUAAAAAUAAUGAAAAUUACGUUGGGACUUCAAAGACAACCUUAGUUUGUGUCCCUUGCCCUUUCUAAAGGCGAGACACCAAACUUGUGCCUAGGAGGGCAACAAACCACUGGCUUUUAGCUAACUAGUUUUCUGAGUUUCUCAAAGCAGCAUUAACAGCCCAUGCAAAAGCACAAAAUCUCCGGUUUCCAAUUAGCCGAAAAGUUUUCAAAUACACAAUAACUUGAGAAGAUAAACCAAUUACCUGGCACCCGUCAACACUUGUAAUAUCUACUAUGCCACUAGGAUCCAUUCCAAACAGAUCCACAAACUUUUCUUGGAGAAGUUUUACUUGCUGGCUAUAGGGUGAUAUGAUUGCAACCUGAGAAUUUGACUUCAACUCUGGAUAUGAAAUAACCAAUUUAUGAUAAAGGUGGAGGACAAAAUCAGCCUCAUCAAUGUUCACCCAAGAUCCACUUCCUGGGGGCUGAGAUUCUUUCCCUUCAUGUAAAUCGAAGAAACAGAAAGGACCAUAACAGCGAUAUGCAUGCCACGCACGUGUUGUCCGUAGUUUGACAUCUUGUGCAUCCUCCAGUGACUCUGCAUAGAAUUCCCUGGAUGGAAAGCUUCUGAUCUGUUGAAAAAGAAGAUAAUUGAGAAAAGCAAACUUUGAUAGGACAUACGACUAGAAGUUGAAACUUAGUCAAAAUCCACGGGGAGAGAGAAUGUUGAGAGUCUUGCAUGUUGUAGUUAGAGCGAAAUAUGAAAUAACUCCAUUCUAUACAAUAGAAUUCAAUAAAUAUAGGCAUACAUGGAAACCCUAAAUAAAGACUAGUAAAUUACAAUAAAAGACAAGACUAAUAAGCUCCUAUAGUUACAUGUAUACCAUAACACCCCCUCAAGCUGGAGCAUAUAUAUUAAUCAUGCCCAACUUCUUACAUAGGUACUCUAUUCAAACUUCAUUCAAGGCUUUUGUAAAGAUAUCUAUGUUCUCCAAUCCUCACACAUCUAGUAGACACCAAACGUUGUAUUUUCUCAAACAAAAUGACAAUCAAUUUCAAUAUGUUCAGUACCCUCAUGAAAAUACUGGGUUAGAUGCAAUAUGGAGAGCAACUUGAUUGUCAACCACAACUUAGUCGGAAUUGUAGUAUUAAAACCCAACUCAAUUAAGAGUUGAUGUAACCACAGUAUUUAACACACUGAUUGUGUCAUUGCACUUAUUGAUCUGAUGAGCUCCAUGAUGGAACUCCACUUGUAGUCAAGUAAGAAUUUCUUAUUGCUUCAAUAUCUAGAAUUCGAAUUACAAGGAAAACGAAUUGAGAAUGACUCAAUUCGGAAAACAAACCCUCUCUCUCAAGGAAGAGCAUGAGACUAUGAUCACUAUUGACUAACUUUUCCUUCUCCUAUCUCCUCUUUAUUUAUACUAACCAACUUAUGAAAUAACUACUUCUAAGUCUACACUUUUCCACACGUGCGCUCCACUGUGGUCCCCGUCUUCUUCUUCCUUCUACUAUACUUAUGUAUGAUAGGAGGUCUAGCACUCCACUCCCAAAUUUACCUCAUUAUAGAAUGAGUCCAAAAGAGUAUAGAUCUUACAAGAGCAAAUAAACGAGCUUCUUGAAAAAGGACACAUAAGAUCAAGCUUGAGUCCUUGCGCCGUCCACGUCUUGUACCUUUGUGUGGGGUAACCUAAUUACUUCGAGAAUUAAGAAGCAAAGUGUUGUUGCUAGAAACAAUGCUGAAACUAAACAUAGUGCUAUGAGUUUGGGAAUCUAUGAAGAAAUCUGAUUGAAGAAAGUUUUCUGAUCUUCACCAAAGACAAUAUUUUACCUGUAAAGCGGGCUACAAGCAUAGCCAAUAAUCCUAUACAACAUGAUAGAAUGAAACAUAUGGAGAUUGACAGACACAUUGUAAAACCAAAACUGGACAAUGACAUUAUGUAUACUCCAUCUUGUCAACAAGUUGAUGUUCUCACCAAAGGGUUACUCAGGCCAAGUUUUGACUAAUGUAUUAGCAAGUUGGAUCUUAACAACAUCUACAACCCAUCUAGAGGGGGGGGGGGGGGGGGGGGGUGUUUUUUUAAUCAGAGACAGACUUCUUUAUUAAUAGCAAGAAAUCUAGAGAGGGAGUGUUGGAAAUCAGAGGCUUUGUUGAUAGUUUAUAUCCCCCAAGGGUAUUUAAGUAUUUUAUUUUACUAGAGCCUAUAAAGUUUUCUUCUUUUGUAUCUUUUAUAGUGUGUGAAAAUAAUAAAAAGUGAUUCUUAUUGUGGUUUUUUCUCCUUGUUAUAGGGUUUUCCAAGUAAACCUAGUGUACUCUUUUUCUACCUUUUUUUUAUAUCUGUGAGUGUUCGGACCAGCUUAUGCGCACCUUGACUAAUCCGACUAGUAAACUCUUUUACUACCAUUUAACAAUAUAUAUGAUGUGUCUUGUCCUACUUUUCCAGAAAUUGGUGUAUCCUAGUGUCGUGUCAAGUGACACUCUCCGUGCUUCUUAGCCUCAAUUUAUGUAGUUGUACUUUGUACCAAGAUCCAUUGAAGAUUAUCCUUUUUUCUUCCCAUUAACACCCACAACACUCAUUUCGUUAGUACCCUGCUUGAAGAAGAGAACAAAAGAGCAGAUGAUAUUUACAAGGUCUGCAGAUAUCUUACUUCAGGAUGCAUUCUAUAUUGGAUCUUCAACAUUGUAACAGGAUACCCAGCUGUCUGAAAUCUCUUGAACAAACUCUUGUCGUAUCUGCAAAUUAAUUAGUUCCCAAAUAAAUAACAAUUGACAUAUGGUGAAAUGAAGAAGCUAUUAUGAUCGGUAAGGAGAAUACUCUACCCAAACUUCUUAGCUGUUGUAGAAAUUACAGUGGCUGGAAGUUGCUCUGGAUCACCAACCUAUGACAAAGAAAACCAAAUAAAUGUGAACUGCAAUGUUGAAUGAUAAAAGCUAGACUUCAAGAAAGGAUGGGCAGCAGUCCACAUGGCAAAGGCUUCGAUAGUUCAUCCAAAAUUAGUCAGUCUACUUUUCGUGUUCUGAGAUAUUCAGAGCUAUAUGUCUAACGGGUUAAAAAAGUACUACUAAUUAAAGAUAUUUUAUUGAUUAUUUGAAAGAGAGAGAUUUUGCAUCUGUACCAGGAAUACUUGUUUGCAUCCAUUAGCCAGAGGAACAAGUGUUGCCAAUUCCACCUGUAUCAAGAAAGUCAUAAAAGAAAAGGAAGGAAAAGUCAGGUCAACAUUAAUAUGAUAUGCUCUCGAUUGUGGGAGUAUGUACACGUAGGCAUAAGAAGUAAUGUUUUCAAGACACAAAGUGCAUUCUAAGGCCACAAGUCUCUAAAUUGCUUUGCCCCAAGGUGAAAGGCAAAAAAAGGUGUCACCAAUUGGGUACUAAAAGAGGUGAUGGAAUGGGUGUUGGGGAGCCAGUUUGCCAAAGGGUUGAAAAUGAAGACCCAAGAUGAGGUAAGCAAGCUACUGCCCCUGUGGCCCAAAAGAAGUUUCAUUUUAUCCAAACCCAUGGUCUGGAGGGCAUUCAUACCCACGACCUUUCUAAUUGCUAUUGACGCCAAUGCAAGAACAGUUAAAGAAAUUCUUAUAAGAAGAGAUUCAAUAAGAGGCAACUACUUAUCCAAAACAACCUAGAAAGAUCUUAUGCCAAUAUCUAAUAUGAAAAUUAGUGAUGUAAUAGGAUUGGGGUAAAUUGGGAUAUCUUGGUCAAAUUCUUGAUUAGUUAUGAUUAAAAUUAGUCUAUUUGAUUCAUUAGGAUUACGAUUAGUUUGCUUUCCAAUUCUAGAAAAUUGUUUUUUUUUUUUUUGUAUUCAUAACAAUGGAUUCAUUAACAAAGAUUCUACCGUAUAAUUAUACAAGAACUUUUCUCCAUUAGUCACUUAUGCUACUCAAUUAGACUAAAAGCAACAGUGGAAAUCUAAAAGCAGCACUUACAGCUUGCGCAGCCUCAUCUAUUAUAACAACAUCAAAACCCCGAUUCCAUUUGCUAAACAGAGAAGAACCACUGAAACUGAGUGUGGAGAAAACCUGCCAAAGUAAAAAAAAUACUGAGGGGGCAAAGUUGUCAUGAGCUUACACAGAAAGGCUCAACAAUAGGAAAAAUGUUACAUACAAUAACACUCUCAUCCAGAAUUGCAGAACGGAUACUGUCCAAGUCUGUCCCUGAAGCUCCACUCUUCUCUUUACCCAUACUCAUAUUGUUUUUCUUUUGUUCCACCUGUAAAGAAACUAUGUCAACCAACUUAAUCGUAAAUAUUAUUCCCUCUUUUUUUCUCUUCUUAUCUUCCUGCUAGUUUCAAAUUAAUAUUGUUAUCUCUUUUGCUCUCUUAUCUUCUUGCUGGUUUCACUUUUAGAUAUAUGCAUCUUACAUGCAUGGAGAAAUCAUUCUAUAUGUGCAAUGAUACGUUUUACAUGUUUCAAGAUCAUUGAGGAUGCUAUCACAUUGUGUGCGUUCCAAAAAGUUGCACAUAAUUAUGGGUGUUUGAGUGAGUGACUGUGUCUGUGUGUCUGUGUGUCUGUGUGUCUAAGAGAGACAGAGAAUAUUCGAUGUAGUUCUGAAUAUUCCCAGAUGCAUACAAGUUCUUUCAUGGAGACAGCCUUUAUGGAAGGAUGGGGUUUCAGUCCAAUGCGCACAAUUUUAGGGGUAUAUGGAUGAUCAUUUUCAUCACGUACACCUACACUUGCCAAAACACACAAAAAAGGGAGAAAAUAUAGAAACUAUGUUAGAUUGCAACAACAAAGCACCCAAUACUGUGUACAGGGAUUAAACUGUAGCAAGUGGCCCCUUUAUAAAAAGAAUCAUGGCUACCCUCAUGAGGUCACAUGUAGGAAACCGAGAUCAAUAUUCUUCAGCAUUAGAGCAACAUAUUUCAAAGAGCACAUGUCUGUCACAAUAUAUAUGUGCCAAAACAGAAAAAACUAGCCUGGGUGGAUUCUAAAUGAUGACAUACUAUAAAUACUAUGCAACACAGAAUAUAUAUUCCAUACACUGCAUAAAUUGAUGCAUGCCCACUAAGUGGUAGAUGAACAAAAGAUAUAUAUUUUUGUUUUCUUUCUACAUCUCCAUUUAACUUGAAACACAACUAGACUGCAUGAACUAAGUAGUCUAUGUUGACAAAUGCCAAGAGUAGAGCUCUUUAGUUUCCCUUAACUUUGGUUAGGAAGCACACCUACAUCUCCCCUUUCCUUUUUCACUUCUUUUUGUCAAUAGAUAAUGGACAGUGUUUAUUACCCAAAAAAUAGGUUUACGUUAUAUUAUUAAGAAACAUAAUAUUAAUUCAAUUGGAUGCUUAUGACUAUUGAUAGACACGACAACUUAUGCAACGCUUCCUACUCGGCCUUUGCAAACAGCAACAGACACUUAACAGUACAGUUCCAUAAUAGUUACUCCAGACAGCAACAGACACUUAACAGUACAGUCCCCUAAUAGUUAUUCAUAAUUUCCACGUCAAUAAAAUCCAAAUUAGAAUACAGUACAAUUCACAUGGGCGAACAAGUAGAGAGGGAAAAGAGAGAGGGUAGAAGGGAUAUAACUUUACCAGUGUUCUGAACGCGCAGAACAAUCUCAUCAAGAGCAGAGUUAGAUGGGGCACAUACAAGCACUCUUACACGAUACUUACGAUUUGACUUUACUACUUCUGGUUUCUACAAAGAAAAUAAAGUAAGGAUCCGUGACUUGGAGGGUUAGCUAGAUACAAUGUUUAACAUCAACUUACCAGUUCAUUUCCUGAGGUAGGAAAAAAACCAUCAUCGCCAUUUACUGGCAUUAGAUCAUCUCUAGGAUUUAUACCAUUUAACCAUGGUGAUGCUUGAUUCCAGUGAUCGUAUCUGUAAAAACAUUUGUAAAGAAGUGUUUAACAUAUACCUUUUUCAUACCGUAGAACAUAUUUAUCUGCAUCAAAUAAUUUUGAUAUAGAUUCUGAAAGUAACAGGACUAAGAAGCACAUAUACAAGCCACAAGAAACAAAUACUACACAACAUUGACAUGGUAAUACAACUGCCAAAAUAAUAUAUUUCUUGUAUAUUUCACAAAGAGAGGGGUUUUCUUAAAUUGAAGAACAACCCAUUACAAAGAAGGAAAAAAUAAAUUUGGGACAUAUAAUAUAAAAUAUAAUACAAGGAAGGAAAUAAUCAACAACAUUUUUUUCAAAUUAGAAAUUAGGACGUGGACAUGCCAAAGGCCCUUAUUAAUAUUACAUUUCUUUAUAUAACAUUUAAUACAAUUGUAGCGGGCUAAAUUAAAAAUAAUGAGUUUGAUUCAUUUCAAUUUCAAAUUUUAUCAUCUUUAUCCUAUAAUAAUUAUGUCUAUUACGAUACUAAGCAAGUGUUGGCAAAAAAGUGUCAGACUCAUAUUCACAAUGUGUGAAUAAGUGUGCACAUGUCUCAGUGCCUGCUACCCAAACUAAAAAUUCAUGCUUCUUAACAGGUUAUAUAAAGAAAUGCAUAGUUUCUCGAAGGUAUAUUAACAGUUGAAUAUACAAACAUAGGCAUCAAAGUAAACUAUACGCACAUCAAAUGGUUCCAACCCUAUCCUUCGUACACAGUGAUGAUGAACAAUAGAUGUAAUAACAGUGAUAAUGAAUAAUAGAUGUAAUAACAGUGACAUACUUUUCCCUCACAGGUAAUUCUGAUCCAUGUCUUGUUUCAAUCAAACCAAUCCUAAACAGGAGAAAAAACAAUAAUUUGAGAACAUGCAUGUCAGAAAACUGCUGCUUGAGCAGUGAUGGAAGAUAAAGUUUUUCUGUUUCUUUUACGUGGAAUGCAUCCUUGCUGGUGUGGCAUGCAGAAUGGCGCUAAGAAGCCCAAGGAUGGUCUGUGUCUUCCCAGUUCCUGGAGGACCCUAGAAGGUAUAAUAUAUUCAGUAUUUGUACUUUGAAAAUAGUAAUAUUGUAGUGAAAAUAAAUUUUGUAUUUGUACUUUAAAAAUAGUAAUAUUGUACAAAUUCAAUCUAAUAAAUUUUGUUUCUUUUGAUAUUAUGGGUUCCUGUGAAGUUGGUAAAAGUGAAUUCUAAGAUAAUGAGGGAAAUCUCAACUAAAGAUGAACCUCCAUACAAACUUUAACGGGCCAACAGGCUAUAGCAUUUCUAAGUAAAAUUAUAGAUAAAAGAAACACAAGUGUGACAAAAUGGACCUGUAUGAGAACAAACGGUUUACGCGACAGACCAGCCUGCAAUUAAGAAUUGUAUACAUUCAGAAAAUAGAUGCCAUAAAUUAAGCUUGCUAAAUAAUUUUAAAAAAUCAGAGAGCAGGAGGAGGGACAAGAGAGGGAGGGAGGUAUAGGCACUUAAAUUCAUGAAUCCUGAAGAAUUUAAAUCAGCAAUCAUCAUAAGAAAAAACAAAAAAAUAAAUACCAGACACAAAACUACUAAGCUUCUUCAUCAAACCGCUACUAACUGACCUGUACAGCUGCCUGUUGGGAUUCAUUAAGAUUUUCUUGCAUAUAAUCCUGCAAAGGUUUGGAAAUUUUCCAGGCUUGAUCUUUACCAGUAUUCUUAUCAGUAGCUGCUAAUAUCAUUUCCUUAAAAGGUAGAGAACUAAUAGACCACAAUGCUAUAUAUUCACGAAUGAUAGUUGAUAAACUGCAAAUCUGCAAAAUCAGCAAAUAUCUUAGAAAAGGUCUAACCACAAAUAAGAGAAUUAUUUUGCAGUUAGUAUCUAUGAACUUACAAAUAAUAAUAAGAUUAUUAAAAUCCAGCAACAAGAAGGACAAAGCCACCAUGCAGAAAACUUACAGAAACUACCAAUCAUGUGAAACUUUUACCUUUAAACUGUAAAUAUAUAUUCCAUCUUUACUAGAAGAAGUAAUAUGGGACCGCACUUUCAGAAGUCUUGGAGAAGAUACGAUUGCCUCUACGUCUUUAUGUGUGACUUCUCCCGCCAAAUACAUUCGAAGCCUGAGUUUACUUUGUUGGCGACUUUCCACUAAUGCAAAGGCAUACGUGGUGGGUAGUUUUGUAUUUUCCUGAAACUGCAAUAUAUACUUGGAUGUCAGCCAUAAGAAGAAAAAAAUUAAAUAAACAAACCAAGUUUAAUAGCCAUACAAUCAAAACAUUUAGGAAGAUCCUGAAACAGAAUCAAACGCUGCAAAGGAUAACAAUGCAAAUGUGAACUAACUCUUUGCUCAUUCUAUUCCCCCAUUUAGAUUUUCCAGAUUAUUUUUUUCAAACUCAGUGUUCAUUAGACUCGAUUUUCUCUUAGCCUGAGCUAUAUCAGACCUGAAAGAAGAAAGGGGAGAAAGCCAGCAGAAUUUGAAGAAAAAUGUUCCAUAAGAAGACUGUCUAGGGAACAAAAACCACUACAAAGCGAUUUUUCUCUUCAGUUCUCUAAACUUCAAUAUGAUGUUGGGGGAGGGGGAAGAAGAAUGAGGGUAGAAGUUUUAUUUUAUUUUUUCCCUCACCUUCUCCUUGGAGAGAAGCAAAAGAUCAUUUGGUGAUAGGAAGUCACCCUUUUCGCUGUCUUCAUCCUUUAAGUCCUCGUCUCUAAGAUACACCAUCUCUGGGAAGUGGAAUCCAUUAACUUCACUGCACUCCAUGAUUGCCCUGAACUUCCAAUCCGAUGCUGCAAAUCCCAAGUGCUAAAAUUUAAUACAAGUGAUACCGUAGAGGAGAAUUACCAAUCAUAGAAACUCAAACUAGUGUAAUCUAGAAAAAGUAACCUACAACAUAUAAAAACACUAAAAUACAAUAUUUCUAAUCACAAUUCCAUUUUCAAAGAGAUCAAUGCAUUUGGAAAAGAAUACCUUCUUCAUCCUCGUUCCUCUGUAUAAUCUGAGCCUUGAUUUCUUCUAAUAAAAGCGGCUCAAAAGUAGAGGUAUAAUCGUCAACAUCUUUAUAUGUGGACUUCACUUCCUUUAAACCCAAUGACGCUCCAUCUCCAUCAUUCUCCUUGCGUUUCUGCUUUCACGAAGACUGAAAGUAAACAAAACGAAGCCAAAUUCGAAAAAAUAAUAAACAGCGAAUAAUUGAGUUCAAGUAAUCGAACUUUGGAGUUCUUGAGGAGCCGGAAAUAGUCCCAGCUGAGAAUAAUUUUGAACAAGCGACUGGUAACAGAUUCUUCAACAGCUUUCUCUUUAUCUACAGCCAUUGAUCGAAUACUUCGAAACUGACCCAAACAUAACAACAGAAGAGUUUCAAUAAUUCAUAAUAACAUUCAAACACUUCAAUCCAAUUCGAAAAGAAACUUAAAGCAACGUAGCUUACCUAAUCUUACUGAAAAGAUUCCGAACUGGUUAAACUGACUUGAGGCUAAUCGAGAGUGGUUCAAUGCCGAAACGAGAAACAAUGUUUCCAAAGGCUCGCGAAGCCGUUCAAAGUCGUGCCCACGGUGCGAGUGAGAUUCGUGGGCUAAAACUCGGUGGCGAGUAAAUGAGUCACCGGAGGCUAGUAGCGUGGUCUGAGGUCAAGUACACACACGCCGCUGCCUACAGCUCGCAACUGUUGGAGGCUCGCCGGACAAGGCUGGACAAGAGAGGCGGAGCGGCGGUUGCGUGAGGGUGUGAAGGGAUGGAAGAAGCUGAUGCGGGCACCCUCCUUUUUCAAAAAUUUUGAAUGCAAAUAAUUAGAAAAAUUAUCACACUUUUUAGUUUCCAUUUUUUAGAGCUCAUGAAAUGGUCCAUCUCGAGUCAGAUCAACUUCUGAUAUUUCUUUAAACUAUUAAAAUUUUCCAACGAUUGUUUUCCCUUUUCUAGGUACAUCUUUAUUAUUAGAUGGAGAUUCUACCAUUUUCUAAAUCUACUCAGUUCUUAUUUAAUUUUUUUUUUCAAAAAAAUUAUUCCAAUAUUCUCAAAUUUUACAAUAACCCUUAACUAAUUUUUUUCAGUCUUGUAAAAAAAUUAUAGAUCUUAGUUCAUCUGAACAAAAAUUAUUCAUCAAAAACUUGAAAUCUGAAUUCAUCUCGAGCAAAAUUAUAACGAAAAAGCCUAAAAGUUGAUAAGUUAAGGAUUUCUCAGUACAACUAUUAGUGCUCUACAGGAAGCACAUGUCAAUUUAGUGCUCCCGAAUGAUGCACAACAAGUGGUGCUCACGUAGGACACCUGCAAGGCACACUACCCGAUAGACAAAUCUAACAAAUUCCCCCCAGUCCAUUCUAAACAUUUAACCAAUCCAUUCCUAAUACAGUCCAACUACACCACCAUGUAAUCAUUCCAGUUUAACACACCUACAAUCAACUUGCUUAAUUAUAUCACAAUAUCAGUAAGUAGUAAAAACAACACAUCAGACAAUCAAACUACAUACAUAACACCCUUCUCAAUUCAAAUACACUGUCUAUACCUUGACAUACCAAUCACCCAAUCUAAACGAUAGUCAACAUGAUCAUUUCUCUAUAUAUCAGUCAACCAUACUAUGCAGUUGUCGUCAUGUCCACACACACACACACAUAUAUAUAUAUCAGUAUACAUUUAUCAACAAGUCUACUUUUAUAUAUAUCAGUCAACCCUACUCAGUUCAAAAUAUCCAUACAGUCAACAUAUUUCAAAUCUAAUUAAGAGUUCGGUAGUAGAAAUCCCUUACUUCGAUUUUAUGCAAGAUCCUUGGUCGAACUAAUUACAAACAUAUAUAUUGAAAUAAUAUUUUGUUGAGGUUGUCCACUAGUAACAAUGUUUGUUUUGUACAUAUUGUUCAACGUUUAUGCUCGAGUUUUGUACUACAGUAACAAAAAGUUUUAUAACGUAAUCUAAAAGGAAAAGAUCUCUCAUGUUAUAUUUGAAAAAAAAAAACUCUAAUUACAUACAAUGGUUAUCAGGUAAGUUUAGAUUGUUUCUCAAAUAUAUUCGAUAGUUGUUUAAAAUAUGAACAUGAGACAAAAAAAACUAUAGUUUUAUGUGAAAUUAAUUAGUUAAUUAAGAGAGAUCUUAAAGGGACACUGUGUUUUAUUCUAUUGUAAAAUUAAAAACAAAGAAAGUGGUAACGACGAUGUUUCAACACCGAGGUAAACUUUAAUGUAUAUCAGGAGACUGUAGAUGUACCUUUUCUAAAUUACUAUUUAACAACUAUGACUCUACUAAUUGACUACGUAUAUGUACAACAAGGAGAUUGUUAAGAAAACAUUAGUAGUUUAUAAUCUAUUAUAUUUGUAUUUUGCUUUUGAUUGUUUCAUACCAUGUAUGAUUAUUUGUUAAGAAAAUUAAUACAAAACGAAGAAAACGAAAAUGACGGAUAAUAAAUAAACUUAUAGAAUUAGAUUAGUUAAACAUGCAAAUCACCCAUAACUUAUUGUUAUAUUAAAUUGGCGGCGUGAUGUAUAUUCGACUACAAGAGCAAACUAACUUGCCCCAAAACAAUCAUACAAAUGCAUUAAACUCGGCAAAAUACAAUAUACUUUGAACAAUUUUUAAGAGUAUUCUACGGUGCUCUUAACCAUCUGUCAUUUCGAUAAUUGUUUUUUUCACAACAAAAGACGAACCAAUCUCUGACUAGACAUUCUUUAGCUACCACAUCUAUUUGGAUCAUCACACCCUUAUAAAGCUCCAUGAGAUCACCAAGUACAUAUUCCAUUGAAAUCACAACAUUCAUUUUAAUCAAACCGUUAUGGAAAAUAAUUAAUCUACACAAAACCGAAGAAGAAAUAUUUCGGAUUACUCCAUGUCUAAGCCAAAAACUUAUAAUAACAUUGAAUGAACCCCUCGUUUUUUGUGCAUAAAUAAAUAAAAUUUAAUUUAGAAGUCUACCUCGUUCAAAUUAUAAAUUUCAUACGACAAUAAAAAAAACUAAAUUUGAAAAGGAUGAAUCAAUAUAUUUAUGAAAAUAAAUUAGAGUUCGAUACAACUAUUAGUUUACCGUCAUCUUUAAUUUGCACGACCUCUAACCCAUUGUACAAAGUUGCAAUGUCCAGUAGAACCCGUGGAAUGCAUAAGGUCUCGCAGCAGACGUCUUAAAUUACAAAAUUAAUACAGGCCGUUCGAUUUGAAAUAUCGUCCAGAUAACAACGAAAGGUCACAACAUCUAACGGUCAAGAUCACAUUCUCGUGGAUAACGUACUAGAAGUGACAAGUUUGGGGAACACUAGAACGAAAUAAAUACCGAAACAAAAUACAAAGCGCGGUUCUUGAAAACCCUCGUAGUCUAUCCUACCAUCGCAGUAUCGGCGGCCUUCUGUCUGUGGUGGUGCAGCUACUUGUUUAUUCGCUGAGGUACUUUUCUUCCAUGCAUCUUUUCUCUUUAUCCCUGAUAUUAACGGUGCGUCAAGCUGUUUCUCUGGAUUGGGGUUUUAUUUUUGCAUUCCCUUCACCCCAAGAAUGCAAGUUUAGGAACAUUCUAAUGUUUUUUUUCUCAAUAUUUAGUCGCUAUUUAACCAGUGUUUUACCGCUAAACGAUUCAUUGAACUAUCUUGGUUCUGGUGGAAACCCUAAUUUUUCUUUCAAACUGGGAAUGAGUUGAAAUGCUAUCGACUAGGUUGCGGUUGUGACUCGGUCGAAGACUUCCACGUUUUCGUAAGUUUCCAUAAAAUUAGGGCUUUUUUCCUCGUCAAUUUUUGUACUCGGUGCUUACAUUUCAUUAUACAAUCGAGCUUCACAGUGUCUUGCUCUGUGCGUAUCUCGCUCUUUCUCUUUUGAUGGUGUGGGGGGAGGGUAGGUUGCUUGAGGAACUAGACUGGUGAUUAGGAUCGAAUAUGAUGUUUUUUAUAUUUUUUUUCAUGUAAUAAGUGAAAGAAAUCUCGAUUGAGUGUAUUUUCAGAAUAUUGUUCAUUUUAUUUUUUUUGCGACUGCAGAUAAAUUGAAAUUUUAAAAUGGUGAGUGGGAAGCGACCUUAUGGUCAGAGGGACUAUAAUGGAGACAAUAAGGGGUACAAGAGACGGAUUACUGAACAAGAUGACUGGGUUAGUGAUGAACUUGUUGUUUACCGAAUACUUUGCCCCGAUGAGGUCAUUGGAAGUGUUAUUGGCAAGAGUGGGAAAGUGAUAAACUCAAUAAGGCAAGAAACGAGGGCAAAGAUUAAGGUGGUUGAUCCAUUUCCUGGUGCUAAGGACCGUGUUAUAACAAUAUUCUGCUUUGUUAAGGAUAAGGAGGAUGUGGAAGUUGAUGACGAGUUCAAUGACAGACAAACAUUAUGUGCAGCUCAAGAUGCUCUUCUUAAAGUUCAUGCUGCCAUUGCUAAUGCACUGGCUUCUGCUGGAGAUUUAGACCGGAAACAGAGGGAUAAAGAACAAUGCCAAAUUCUUAUCCCUUCAAGCCAGUCUGCUAAUGUCAUUGGUAAAGCAGGAUCGACUAUAAAAAAGCUUAGAAGCAAGACGAGGACCAGUAUAAAAAUCAGCCCCAAAGAUGCCACUGAUCCAAUUCAUUCGUGUGCCAUGGAUUUUGACAAUUUUGCUGUGGUAUGUAUAUAUUGCUCCCAUUCAAACUUUAUUUAAUAUCAUUUUUUACUGUUGAUAUCAUGCACCUCCCAUCCACAUGAUAUUUUUGUUUUUUUCCAUGUGUAUUAAUUAACCAUCAGCAUGGAAUGUUCACGGCAGAAAGUUAAACAAAUCAAAGCCUAUUAUUGUCUACUAUGAAAAAGCCUAUUAUUGUCAUCAUGCUUUACAGGUACCAGCAUUGUCUACAAUUGGGAGCCUGAGAACUUAACUGGGCUUUAUAACUACAUCUUUUUGGUGUGUGCUUGUGUGUAAAUAAAAAAAACCAUUCGUUAGUAUUUAAAACCAUGCCAAAAAUGAUGAUAUUAUGUUAUGUCAAUACCCAUAUUUUCUAAGCUCGUAAAGUUGCAGAAGACUGGGUUUAUUGCACAUGCCUUUCUUUACCUCUCAAUAUUUUGAGGUGAAAAUUCUGGGUACCUCUGUGUUGUUUGGUUUAUCUUUUGAAGACUAUAUGCCUAAGGAGUUCUUCAACUUAUCAAUAGACCUUGUACUCUUCUUGGUAUCUAGGUGGGUAGUUAGUCAUCAGUUUUCAGUGUAAAAUGGAAAUAAUCACCAGUGCUUCCAAUGAUCUAGAGAUAUAUGACUUGGUGGAUUUAAAAUGUUUUUGUUACUUGAAAUCAAGUAAUUCAUGUGGAUGGUUUGACUGCCAAAAGUUCAUCGUGCAUUUGUCUUCUAGUUCUUAUUAUCUGACUCUCGAUCAACUUAUAGAUUCUUAACUUUCUGAGAAACAGGUCUCAAAGAACCAAUGUGUUUUGUUAACUUUCCCAUCUAAAUAGCACUUUAGAAAGCUAUAAUGAGAUAUAUAUCAAAUCCUGAAUGAACGUUGACUCUCUGUUUCUGUUUCUUUUCAACAAUUUUGUGGUGUUGUUUGCUGAUCAACAACACCAACUUGCUUUUGUUUCUUUUGAGUAGAUAGCUGGAGAACCUGAGGGAGUAAGACGGGCAUUGUUUGCAAUAUCUUCAAUUAUGUAUAAGUUCCCUCCCAGAGAAGAGAUUCCUCUCGAUACAAAUGUAAACGAAGCCCCUCCUAAUAUAAUUAUCCCAUCCGAUGUUCCUCUGUAUUCAGCAGGAGGGCUAUAUCCAAGUGCAGAUCCCAUUCUUCCUCCCAGAUCUAUUCCACCAAUGCUUGGUGCUCAACAUGUUCAGGAUCUUCACGAUUACCCUGAAAGUGGGAAUGCAUGGCCUCUCUAUUCAUCUUCUCUUCCUGUGGUUCCUGGUGGUAUUAGUGGUCAUCCUCCAUCGGAGGAGUUGGUGGUUAGAGUAUUAUGCCCCUUUGAUAACAUUGGCCGUGUCAUUGGUAAAGGUGGGGGUACCAUUAAAAGCAUAAGGCAAGCUAGCGGUGCUCGUGUAGAGGUUGAUGACACCAAGCGUGAUUGUGAUGAAUGCAUUAUUACUAUCUCGUCAUUUGAGGUACUAUUUCUUCUUUCACAAAAGGCAAGAAGAAGAGUUCUGCUCCAGUGCCUUAAAUUUCUUUGUAGUUCUUUAUAUCAUUUUGAAGGAGGUUUUAUUUGCAGAGUUGGGAAUUAAAUAAAAAAAUGAAUUUGUGCGUUGUAUAAAGGUUGGAAUUUUAGAAGUGUUCUUCCUAGUCCACAAUAUGAACAUGGAAACUGGCUUUCUUUGCACCCGAAGUAGUAGUGCUUCGAUAAUACAUUUCUAUUGCAAAAAAGAAAAUAAAAACUCCUGCUCACUUUGUACUGUACCCUUUAUUUUAUUUGAAACAUUGGCUUCGAGCCAUCCAACAAUUUGUAUCAUGUUAUUUAACUUGCUUAAUGUAUGUGAAGAUUUACUUAGCGUUUGGUUCUUUUAAUUGCAAUUCUUAUUCAUGCUGGAGCUGGUUAUUUAUUUUAACCAAUACAUUAACGAUGCUGUUUUUUAAAUGUAUUUUUCCAGUCCUUGGAUGAUCUGAAAUCAAUGGCUGUUGAAACUGUGUUAUUGCUGCAAGAGAAGAUUAAUGAUGAUGAAGGUGGUACGGUGAUUAUGAGACUACUUAUUCCAUCUAAAGUUAUUGGUUGUAUUAUAGGAAAAAGUGGUUCAAUCAUUAAUGAGAUUCGGAAGUCAACUAGAGCUGAUAUCCGUAUUUCUAAGGGCGACAAACUUAAGUGUGCUUCUUCCAGUGAUGAACUUGUUGAGGUUUGCUUUACUAAUCUUAAUUAGUGCUGAAUGCUGAAUGCAGUAUUGCUUGCACCACACUUCUGAUUUUGAAUGUAUUUUUGCAGGUAACUGGUAAAGUUGGCUGUGUGAGAGAUGCAUUGGUCCAGAUUGUGUUGAGGCUUCGUGAUGAUGCUUUGAAAGAGAGGGAUGUUGGUCAUAACUCUGCUAUUGUUACUGAUUCAAUGUACUCAUCAGGUUCCAGUUUUUCAAUGCCAUCUGUCUUGCCUUCUGUUUCUCCUGGGGCUCCACCAAUGGGCUAUGAUCAGAGGGCUGAAAGUGGGAGUGGAUUAGGCGUUCUCUCUUCAAGUGGCCUAUAUGGAUCUGGAUCACUGUCGGUAGGUGUUGUAAGCGAACUUUUAAUAUUGUGGGAUAUAAGUACUUUUUUUUCUUAUGCAAACAGUUAUAUAGUUGCUACUCAGGCCUUUUUGGAAAAACAAACUUGUUUUGUACCGAAGAGAUGAUGAGGUCAACAUUUGUCAUAUUGUGAUGUUUGAGGGAGGCAGACAGCUUCAACUUUUAUUUUUUGUAUCUGUGUGUAUAUCUUCUUUUUUUUUUGGGGGGGGGGGGGGGGGGUGUUUGAUAAUUUAGUACGGUUAUCUGUGGUGUAUAUCUUUCUGGUGAUAAUGAAGGGAAUUUCUUUCUUAUUUUCUGUUAUUUUCUUCCAUAUUAAAACCUUUUUCUGUUCUUGUAUCAGAUGGGAGACAAUGGGUAUGGAUACAUGUCCUCAUAUUCAUCCAAGUUGUAUGGAGGGUAUGUACCUUAUUUUAUUUUAGAAUGCAAAUUGUUUGCUUUAUUUAUAUCGAUUAGUAACCAUCGUUUUUACAUUUAUUGUUUUCAUUACAGGCUGCCUCCUCCAUCUUCUCUCGAGAUGUUGAUCCCAGCAAAUGCAGCUGGUAAAGUAAUUGGAAAAGGAGGGGCUAAUAUCGCCAACAUUAGGAAGGUUGGUUUGUUGUUGUCUACAUUUCAUUAUUAUUGAUUGCUUUUCUAUGACUUUUUUAUGUGGACAUGUUUUGUAUGUUCAAGUUUAAUUUUUUUUAAUAGCAUAUUUCCUACUCUGAUGGUCAAUUGGAGAACAGUUCUAACAUCACACCAGAUAUAUGUCAUGUAUGAUGAAAAAUUUAAAGGAUUCCGAGUCUACUUGGAUAGUGUUUAUUCUCCAAUUUCCACUUUUAGGUUUUAGAUCUUCUUAGGGAGUAUAUGUGAACUUUUUCCCUUUCUGUUUGUAAGGGUCUGUUUGGCCAAGGGUUUUGGAAGUAGGAGUAGGAAAGUAUGGAGUUAUGAACUCCACCCUUGUUUGUCUCAAAGAGUUAGCAGAGGCCACUGGUAAAAAAACAUCAAUUUUAUACCUUAUCAACUCCGUACACCAUGGGCCCCUAAAGUUCACAACUCCUCAGUAGUUUGUACUAUUCUACUCCUUACCCCAAACACCCCCGAGCUCUAUCCAAGAAGUAGAGAUAUGGCAUAAAUUGAUAGGUAUCGUGAACUAAGUUCAGUAAAGCUAUUAGUAUGGAAGGAUGCUAGUUUUUACAGACCUUACAUCAUUACAGUAGUAUGCUUGAAAGAUUGAAAUAUGUAAAUAUAUAAUAAACGUGCUUUAGUAAUACCUAAAUUUGUGUUCUCUGUUUUAUUAGUGUCUUAAUGUCAGAAAAUAGCCUUUUCUCUUCUCCAAGACAUGUAUCCUGUUUACUGUCUUUGGAUAUUUCUUAGACUUUAGAUUGUUUGCAAGAAACCUUGGGACUGAUGAAACACUUUUAUUGCCAUAGGUAAGUUCAAUGGUCUAAAACUUUUAAUGAUAUUGACAAUUAUACAUACUGAUGGUUAUUCUUUUGUUAUGAGGCUCUUUUGAGUAAUGAGAAUAUAACACUCUUGCUUGUUUGUUGUUCAGAUAUCUGGAGCGUUGAUAGAGAUCUCAGACUCUAAGUCAUCUAGAGGUGAUCGCAUUGCUCUUAUAUCUGGUACAUCUGAACAGAAGCGCACGGCUGAAAACUUGAUUCAGGCGUUUAUAAUGGCUACAUGAGAAGAAAGAUGACUUUUUUUGGAGGUUACUAGAUGAAAAUCUUCCAUAUCUCAUCAUCCUCUGUAGAUCUCCCUAGGUUCAGUUCUGGAGAUGGGUACUUCUUUUAGCCUUCAAAUUCUUCAGUUUUUUCCCAUUAAAUGUGCACCAGGAUGAAGUGGGAGGAUCUACAGCAGGUUCAUAUCUAGGGUUCCUAGAGCUUUUGUUUCUUAAUCUAUUCUUCUGUGGAUUCUUAGAACUUUUAGGAUCUUUCCUUUCAUACUUGUAUGUCUGGCCUUGUCUUUUAUCAGUUGGGAGUUCUCAUUUCCAAUGCUGUCAUACUCACAUUAUAUGAUGAUUAUGCCAGAUGAGUUCCAGGAUGGUCAUUAUUCUCAAUCUUAUAACUGUGUACAAUAUUUUUCUGUCCAUUCUAUCUCCUACUCAUUUUCUUGGUGGACGAAGUUUUCAAUCAUUGAUCAUUAUUCUCAAUGCAGUUGGUGUUGCUCUUGCCUAUGAUAGUGCUUUAUAACUAUUACAGUGCACCUCAAGAGAAGAGAUCGUUUCCAGAACUUAACUAAAGUAAUCAUCAAAGAAGUUUCUCUUUUGAUUCCUUGCUCUGUACUUCAUGUCAUGACUCCUAAAUUGUUAGUAGGUUGGUGCCAAAUAGCAUCAUAAAUUCUGUGUUUUUUUGCCUCUGAUAUUAUGCCUUCUCUGAUGCCCUUUAUUAAUAGUCAACAGUGAAAUUUUCCAAAAUACAUGAACUGUAGAGCUGGGUCUGAAAUUCCUUGGACAUAUAAGAUUAGCUUCAGAUUGAGAAAGUUCAUUCCACGAAUACUGAUUCCCUAAUAAUAUGCUCACUCCAUUUUCUUGAGAGAACAAUUUUGAGAGCAUUCUCAUUUGGAGGAGCAUGGGGGUUUGUUGCUCUUCACUUCUGGUGGAAAGUUUCGUUCAGUGUCUUAGAUGAUUCAACAGAGAAAGGUCUGUCAUGAGUUCUAUUUUCUACACUAAGUUAAUGCAAUUAUCUGGUUCUUUUUAUUACUCCGUAUACACAAAAUAAGGGUUUUUUUGCUGUGAGAUUUUUAUAAAGAAAACUAUUUUUAAAGUGUUCUUCACCAUGUUCUCAAAGUUGUAUUUUGGAAGGAUCUCUUCUUUGUUUUAAUCAAUUUUCAUAACUAAGAACAAAAUAAAGCUUUUUAUAGUUUUUACAGUUUUUUUUAUCAGAAACAAAAAUACAUUCCAAACAGAAAAAAACAAUCCAUUAAUGAUGUUUUUCACACAUAAAAGCACGUGUAUUCUUGAUUUUUACCUUUCAAAAAGAUAACUUUUGUUUUCAACCAAUGAUUAGUUCUAAUUGUUGAACGAGGUUAUAGCUAGUUGUGAAAGUUCAGAGUUCUUUCAAAGGAAAAAAAAUAUCAUCAAGGGGUUUAGAAUGAUGAUGCCUUUCUGCCCUUGUUUUCAAUUCCUUCUGUAAUCAAUCUACUGUAGUGCUCAUGUAGUGUUUUCUUUGUGUUAUCUCUCUUUCCUGUUCUCUUAUGUCUACUUUAUUCUCAUAACAUCAUUUCAUUUUCUAGCCAAUAAAAUCUUCUAAUUUCUAAAAGAGAUUUUGUGAAGAACGGGUGGUUAGGCUUACUCCUUUAGUGUUUUUAAGAGAUUCUAUAAGAUGUUUCCAUGGUCUAAAUCAUCUUGUGUUGAUUCUGUAAUCCUUUCUGAGAAAUUUUUCCUCUGAGGAGGUUGUUUAGCAUUCAUAUUGAUGUCAUGCAAAUGAAUUAUAUGAAUACAUGUGAGUAAGCCCAACCAUUUUAAGUUUGAAGUAUCUCCCUCUUUUAUCGAAGAUCAUGGCAUAAUGGCUUCUGUUGACUUGAUUCUAAGAAAUGAUCCCAUUAAUGAUUGGCAAAUGUGUUCCCAACCAUCUACCAUUAGAGCAACGAAGUCCUAUUUUGAUGUUAGGUUCCAUCUUACCCUAAACUGAUCACUGUUCACUGUGACUUAAAACGAUGGGAUUUUCCCACCCUCUCAUAUGUUUUCUAGUGCAUGAUCCACUAUUUUUGUACAUUCCUGAAGUUGAUAAUCAUUAAGACCAAUAGGCCGUUUUUCAGUUGCAGUUGAUGGCGUAAUUCUUGCAGAUUUUGUUCCAUGUUAAAAUUAGGAUGUCUGCUAUUAUGCCCUAGACUAUUAGGAUAUUCCAGUGCUUUAUACAGAUAGUUCUGCGAUGCCAGAUUCUUUUCUGUUUGGUAUCUUAGCUCUUCAUUCAGUUAUUUUCCUUUACCAAUCCAACAUAAAUAUAAACUUCAGCAGUGGGAACUUGGCAAAAUUGUCUAAUUUCAAUGAUUCUGUUUGCCAAUCUACUUCCCUUUGUUGUAUGGUGGGUUUUCCUUUAUAAGUCAACUAGUAGCCUCAUAAUUAUAGCUGGCCUCGUAGCAGUCAACUAGUAGCCUCACAAGUAUAGCUGGCCUCGUAACGGUCAACUAGUAGCCUCGCAAGCAUAACUGGCCUUUGUUACACUUAUCUUUUAGUUUUCUACUGGACGGAAUCACCGGCUUACAGUGUCAUUUGUGGGCUAGGUAUGUUUUUUGGUUUUUCAUUAACAAACCUCUAGUUGUGUUGCUAGGCCCUGCCGUUUAUUAUUCCUUAUAUUUGUGGCUAGAAUCCCGAUUCUUGUUCGGAGUAAUACCCCAAGGUUGGCUUUACUCUUAUUGUGCUCCUCUAAUAUGAAGGAAAUAGAAAGUUUUGUGAAGUAGGAUGACAAUGGAUGACAGUGAACAACGUAGCAUUAGAAAAACGUAUGUAGCAAAAUAUAGUCAUGAAUAACCUUAUGGUAGUUAGAUCCGUUGCGAAUACUUGGUUUUGAUCUCAUCAUCAAAGAUAAUUUGUUGUGGGGUUUUUUGUUUCUUAAAUUAUGAAGUUAAUGUAAUCAUUAUUUUUUUUAAGGCUGAAAUUGCCCACUUUGUAUUUGAUUCAAGGAUAAGGAAAGAGGAAUGAUCAUCUUUGAAUUUGUUUUUUUGUAGUUUGGAGGGAUUUCUUUGCAUUUGUAAGAAAUCACUAAUUGAAUAGUUUCUAGAUAUCGUUGAAAGUGUCGUCUCUGUUUAACUAAUUUUGAUAGUAACUUACCUUUUACAGAUAAAAACAAAAAUCUUCUAUAUCUCUCAUGUUAAAGCUGAUUGUGUAUUGUUGCAAUUUUUGAAUACAACGCUUUUGAACUCGUGUCUGAGUUAUGAAUUGUGUUUGACAAUCAUUUGAUUUUUGCUUUUAGUUCUUGAAAAUUAACUAUGUUUUCUCCCAAUUUGUUAUAUCUUUCUUGGGUAGCCAAUUUCGAAAAUAGAAAAUAAAAAAGUAUAUUUUUUAGUUCCCAAAACAAUGUUUUUGUAAAAAAAGUAGAUUUAUGAGGUCAAUUUUUAAGAAUCACAUGAAAUGGUUAGCAAACAAAACUAAUGGACGUGAAACGCAAAGUACCGAUUCAGCUUCCAAAGAAUAGGGAAAUUAUGCAAAGAGAGGAGUAAGUUGGUCCAGCUUACUACUUUUCCUUGACAUUUUCGGGACCAUUCGUCUUGGUUGGUUUGCACUUGUGCCUAGAACAUUAUUCUACCAAGUUCAUUUAUAUUUCAAUAAAUUCUGCUCUCUUUAAGAAUUUGAUUCGAUGAAUCUUAUCUCUUUAUCAAAAUAAUAUCAAAUUCUGUUUUUUACCCUAUAUUUUCAUUCAUAUUCUCUUUUAGAAAACGAAAACGAUAAAGAAAAAUAAUUGUUAGUUAUCAGUUUUUGGCCAAAUAAGAAAAAACAUACUUUUCUCAAAUUACUUUAUCAUUAAUAAUAAUAAAAAAAAUGGUCUUCUUGGACAGAUGAUUUAUUUUGAAAUGCUAUUAAUUACACAUUCAAAUUCUCAACUUAUGAACAAAAAUAAAUAAUUAAAUUCAAUUACAAUUCUAAAGUUGAAGAUUGAAUUCUUAAUUUUUAGAAAAGAAAGUCAUUGAGUCAAGUUCAUAAAUCAAUAUUUCUUUUUCUAUAGUAUCAAUAUCUUUUGGUUUAAUUUCUUAUUAAUGAUCUAAUAAAAAAGUUUCUUGCUAAAUUACUGAGUAAUUUGGUAUAGUACGUGAAGAAAAUAAAUAAAAAGAAGAGAAGGAAGAAGAAAAGGUUUAAUUAGAAUUUGGUGGUUAAGGCCUAAGGGUUUGUUCAAUAAUUGGAAGCUUUAAUGGCUGUCUCUAUGCGUGUGGGUCAGCACGUGUCUAUUCCUCUUUCAUCAAUUUAUGCAUGGGCCCCACAACCAUUCAUUUCCUUCUUAUUUUACCUUUCCUUAUUUAUUCUUUCUUCAUUUCCUUUUAUAUGUCUAUUUUUGUUAUUCCCUUUUCUCUUUUUUUUUAUCUAAUUAUUAUUCAAUAAAUGCUUUGAUCAAACUCUGUCCUAAAAUAUAAUUUCUUCUUUUUUUUUUUUGAAAUUUUAUUGUUAUACAAUCUGGGUAGUAGAUGAGUUGAGCUUAUAUUGACAAAAUAUAAAAAUUUUAAUCAACCCAAUUUCUUUUUUUUUUAAAAAAAAAAAGAUUAAGAACAACAAAUAAUAGUGGAUGAAAAAAAAAAGUAAGGGAGAAAGCUAUUUUAAUUAAGAGGUUGGUUGAGAAUAUAAAUUGUAUAGGAUAAAUUUUAUUUUGAAUAAAAAUUGUAUACUUGCAAUUUGAAUGUGUAUUAUUAUUAGUAAUAAUAGGGCCAAAUAGAAUGUCACACAGUUUGGAGUUUGGAAACAAACACACACACUAUGUUCUCUAUCAAUUUGUCUCUCAAUUCUCUAAUCUUUUAAAAUAAUAUUUAGUUAGAUCUAAUCCACCAUAGUUUGUCACAUCUCCCUUUUAUUAAUAUGAAAGUUAAUAAUGAUGUAAUAAAGUGGGUGCAGCUUUGGAUUUGUAAUUUUAACACAUUUGAGGUCAUCUCUUGGUUGAUCCAAAGCAUUUAUUGGUAAUUUAGUUAAAUUAGUUGUGGCUCUAAUCUAUACUUCUUAAUUACAUAUUCCAUUACCUACUCUACCUUCCAAUUAUAAAUAAUAAAAAUCCUCAAAGCUUUUCUAUAAAUAAAGAUGAUAAGCACUCAAUAAUUACAAUAAAUAUUUUAUUCACUAAGUUAGACAAACAUUAGUUGACAUUUAAUUCAAUUAGCUUAGGUAAUUAAAAAUGUUACUUUACAAUCUUAUAUUUUCCUCCUCAAAGAAAAAAAAAAAAAAAAAAGAGAGAAGAG
RNAcentral lists this long non-coding RNA (39945 nucleotides) under Cucumis sativus (cucumber). Its description in RNAcentral is "long non-coding RNA (CSAT_LNC002555)". Lineage: Eukaryota; Viridiplantae; Streptophyta; Magnoliopsida; Cucurbitales; Cucurbitaceae. The record is from RNAcentral.